AGAGUUUGAUCCUGGCUCAGGAUGAACGCUAGCGACAGGCUUAACACAUGCAAGUCGAGGGGCAGCACAAGGUAGCAAUACUGAGGUGGCGACCGGCGCACGGGUGAGUAACGCGUAUGCAACCUACCUGUAAGAGGGGGAUAGGCCAUUGAAAGAUGGAUUAAUACCGCAUAAUAAGUGAGAACCGCAUGGUUUUCGGUUUAAAUAUUUAUAGCUUACAGAUGGGCAUGCGUUCCAUUAGAUUGUUGGUGAGGUAACGGCUCACCAAGUCAUCGAUGGAUAGGGGAACUGAGAGGUUGACCCCCCACACUGGUACUGAGACACGGACCAGACUCCUACGGGAGGCAGCAGUGAGGAAUAUUGGUCAAUGGACGAGAGUCUGAACCAGCCAAGUCGCGUGAAGGAAGAAGGAUCUAUGGUUCGUAAACUUCUUUUAUAGGGGAAUAAAAAGAGGACGUGUCCUUUCUUGUAUGUACCCUACGAAUAAGGAUCGGCUAACUCCGUGCCAGCAGCCGCGGUAAU
Molecule: ribosomal RNA, 522 nt
Filed under: uncultured bacterium
Lineage: Bacteria
Description: bacterial SSU rRNA
Rfam family: Bacterial small subunit ribosomal RNA
Source: RNAcentral